ACGCUGGCGGCGUGCCUAAUACAUGCAAGUAGAACGCUGAAGAGAGGAGCUUGCUCUUCUUGGAUGAGUUGCGAACGGGUGAGUAACGCGUAGGUAACCUGCCUUGUAGCGGGGGAUAACUAUUGGAAACGAUAGCUAAUACCGCAUAACAAUGGAUGACCCAUGUCAUUUAUUUGAAAGGGGCAAAUGCUCCACUACAAGAUGGACCUGCGUUGUAUUAGCUAGUAGGUGAGGUAACGGCUCACCUAGGCGACGAUACAUAGCCGACCUGAGAGGGUGAUCGGCCACACUGGGACUGAGACACGGCCCAGACUCCUACGGGAGGCAGCAGUAGGGAAUCUUCGGCAAUGGGGGCAACCCUGACCGAGCAACGCCGCGUGAGUGAAGAAGGUUUUCGGAUCGUAAAGCUCUGUUGUAAGUCAAGAACGAGUGUGAGAGUGGAAAGUUCACACUGUGACGGUAGCUUACCAGAAAGGGACGGCUAACUACGUGCCAGCAGCCGCGGUAAUACGUAGGUCCCGAGCGUUGUCCGGAUUUAUUGGGCGUAAAGCGAGCGCAGGCGGUUUGAUAAGUCUGAAGUUAAAGGCUGUGGCUCAACCAUAGUUCGCUUUGGAAACUGUCAAACUUGAGUGCAGAAGGGGAGAGUGGAAUUCCAUGUGUAGCGGUGAAAUGCGUAGAUAUAUGGAGGAACACCGGUGGCGAAAGCGGCUCUCUGGUCUGUAACUGACGCUGAGGCUCGAAAGCGUGGGGAGCGAACAGGAUUAGAUACCCUGGUAGUCCACCCCGUAAACGAUGAGUGCUAGGUGUUGGAUCCUUUCCGGGAUUCAGUGCCGCAGCUACGCAUUAAGCACCUCCGCCUGGGGAGAACGACCGCAAGGUUGAAACUCAAAGGAAUUGACGGGGGCCCGCA
Molecule: ribosomal RNA, 910 nt
Filed under: uncultured bacterium
Lineage: Bacteria
Description: bacterial SSU rRNA
Rfam family: Bacterial small subunit ribosomal RNA
Source: RNAcentral